This 395-nucleotide ribosomal RNA is filed under the name uncultured bacterium. Its description in RNAcentral is "partial 16S ribosomal RNA". It matches the Rfam family "Bacterial small subunit ribosomal RNA", at positions 355 to 743 of the family's 1533-position model. The record is from RNAcentral.
UGGGGAAUAUUGCACAAUGGGCGCAAGCCUGAUGCAGCCAUGCCGCGUGUGUGAAGAAGGCCUUCGGGUUGUAAAGCACUUUCAGCGAGGAGGAAGGUGGUGAGCUUAAUACGCUCAUCAAUUGACGUUACUCGCAGAAGAAGCACCGGCUAACUCCGUGCCAGCAGCCGCGGUAAUACGGGAGGGUGCAAGCGUUAAUCGGAAUUACUGGGCGUAAAGCGCACGCAGGCGGUUUGUUAAGUCAGAUGUGAAAUCCCCGGGCUCAACCUGGGAACUGCAUUUGAAACUGGCAAGCUAGAGUCUCGUAGAGGGGGGUAGAAUUCCAGGUGUAGCGUGAAAUGCGUAGAGAUCUGAGGAAUACCGGUGGCGAAGGCGGCCCCCUGGACGAAGACUGA